This is a small nucleolar RNA of Apodemus sylvaticus (European woodmouse), 132 nucleotides long. RefSeq annotates it as small nucleolar RNA SNORA17. The transcript has a single exon. Lineage: Eukaryota; Metazoa; Chordata; Mammalia; Rodentia; Muridae. The record is from RefSeq and is a predicted model, not a curated record.
CCUGCCCCUAGAAAUGUUGUAGGUGUAGCUGCUGUGUCACAUGUGCACCAGUAGGUGGCAGAGAGGAGAGCGGCUAUGUCUAUACUGACUCUUCUGACCCGUGAACAUCUGAAUGUCUAGAAGCCUAACAUU